RNAcentral lists this ribosomal RNA (487 nucleotides) under uncultured bacterium. RNAcentral describes it as "bacterial SSU rRNA". It matches the Rfam family "Bacterial small subunit ribosomal RNA", at positions 28 to 526 of the family's 1533-position model. The record is from RNAcentral.
GACGAACGCUGGCGGCGUGCUUAACACAUGCAAGUCGAACGGUGAAAGAGGAGCUUGCUCCUCUGGAUCAGUGGCGAACGGGUGAGUAACACGUGAGUAACCUGCCCUUGACUCUGGGAUAAGCGUUGGAAACGACGUCUAAUACCGGAUACGACGACCGAUGGCAUCAUCUGGUUGUGGAAAGAAUUUCGGUCAAGGAUGGACUCGCGGCCUAUCAGCUUGUUGGUGAGGUAAUGGCUCACCAAGGCGACGACGGGUAGCCGGCCUGAGAGGGUGACCGGCCACACUGGGACUGAGACACGGCCCAGACUCCUACGGGAGGCAGCAGUGGGGAAUAUUGCACAAUGGGCGCAAGCCUGAUGCAGCAACGCCGCGUGAGGGAUGACGGCCUUCGGGUUGUAAACCUCUUUUAGUAGGGAAGAAGCGAAAGUGACGGUACCUGCAGAAAAAGCACCGGCUAACUACGUGCCAGCCGCCGCCGUAACAC